GUUCAGUUGAAGCUGCUGCCCACCUGUCCAGAGGACACAAUAAAGGAUCACAUCUUACAAAACAUGUACACAACUCUACUGACAUAUUCAACGUAUCAAAUAGGAUAAGAACAAAAAUACUCUACAGCAAUAAUCGAUCAAUAUCAAACACACUUGAAGGUUUCCAGAAACCUUUUAUACGAUCUAGUGGAAAAUGCAGUGCAUCAUGGAUGGGUGGAUAUUGCUCAAGGAUAGAUGCAAAGAGUGAUCAAUAUCACAAUUUUGUACAGAUAUUUAGUCAUUCACAUUGUAGGCAUCAAACUUACUUAAUGCAGUCAUGAUAUGCCCUUGACUAACAAUAGACAACUUGAUCCUUAGGAGAGAGCAUAUCGAAUGCAUCCCAUACUUCCACCCGUACCCCUGUGUAGCUCAGCCCAUAGUCUCAUGCUCCAAGCACCCCAGAGAAACUAGUUCAACUAGUAGGGACCAAUGUUUUCAAGUCGUCCGAUUAAUCGCGAUUAAUCGUCCAAGUCGGUUUGGACCAACUGCAAUUAAUCGCCAAGUCAUCAGACUAAUCAUGAUUAAUCGCGAUUAAUCGCCCAAGUCGGUCAACAAGAACGACCAGCAAGUCGUCCGACUUGAUAGCAUUGGUAGGGACUGUGCUUCAUGCAUUUACAAAGUGGAAUCAACUUCACAAUUUGACUGCUACUGAGAGAACCUUCCCUUCUAUAUAGACCAACUAUUGUCAACUAUGUAUGUACUUUCAUGCAGAAAACAUAUACAGUGCCAUUAGACAAACAACUACUCGAAUUGCACCUAAGAAUACCAAAAAUGGCCAGUAACUUACCCCAGAAGUGGUGGGAUGGCAC
RNAcentral lists this unclassified non-coding RNA (848 nucleotides) under Zea mays. Its description in RNAcentral is "misc RNA Zm00001eb402320". Lineage: Eukaryota; Viridiplantae; Streptophyta; Magnoliopsida; Poales; Poaceae. The record is from RNAcentral.